GAUGAAGAACGUAGCGAAAUGCGAUAAGUAAUGUGAAUUGCAGAAUCCAGUGAAUCAUCGAAACUUUGAACGCACAUUGCGCCCGCCAGCAUUCUGGCGGGCAUGCCUGUUCGAGCGUCAUUUCAACCCUCGACCUCCCUUUGGGGAAGUCGGCGUUGGGGACCGGCAGCACACCGCCGGCCCUGAAAUGGAGUGGCGGCCCGUCCGCGGCGACCUCUGCGUAGUAAUCCAACUCGCACCGGAACCCCGACGCGGCCACGCCGUAAAACACCCAACUUCUGAACGUUGACCUCGAAUCAGGUAGGACUACCCGCUGAACUUAAGCAUAUCAAUAAGCGGAGGA
Molecule: unclassified non-coding RNA, 343 nt
Filed under: soil metagenome
Description: partial contains 5.8S ribosomal RNA, internal transcribed spacer 2, and large subunit ribosomal RNA
Rfam family: 5.8S ribosomal RNA (bases 1-120)
Source: RNAcentral